Molecule: RNA transcript, 8205 nt
Organism: Physeter macrocephalus (sperm whale)
Lineage: Eukaryota; Metazoa; Chordata; Mammalia; Artiodactyla; Physeteridae
Gene name: acyl-CoA dehydrogenase short chain
Exons: 10
Source: RefSeq, a predicted model, not a curated record
ACAUAAAGCAUUUUUCAGCGUUGGGCAUUGAUAAUUAACGAUGAGCAGCACUGGUAUUCCAAGUCAAAAAUUCCAAGCUUCUUCCCCUUUAUUCAUUCUUUCACUGGUAUUGGAAUAUAGCAGUGGACAAAACCACACUGUCUCUGCCCUCAUGGUCACAGAGAAAGACCUUAAUCAAACAAGCACGUGAAUAGGUGUGAAAUUACAGCUGCACAAGCACCAUUAAGGAGAGGCACAGAUGCCGCAGGAGCGUGUGAUUAAAGGAUUUGGCUCAGUGAGGUCAGAGAUGGCCAUGCAGCAGAAGUGAUGCUUGAGCUGAGCCCCAAGGACGGGAGGAGAUAAUAACUAGUUGAUAAAGGGCAUCACUGACAGGAAACAGCAUGUGCAAAGGCCCUGUGGUGGGGAGGGGAAGUGUGGUACGCGUAAGGAACUGAAAGAAGGUCUGUGUGGCACUGUGCUUCCCUGCUCUGCUCCCUACCUCAGAGGCCCCCAAAGCCUUCUUGUGCCUUCUGCCUGCUCACUGGUUGUGUCUGUAGACACAGGGUACAGUUGGGGUGGAAUUUGGGGACAGGACGGCUUGAAUGAAUGGUGCUGUCUUGCAGACUCAGCCUCAGGGGUUCCGGGGUAGGUGGAUGUGGCCACAUGACCUGAGUUUCUGCAGGCACUGGCUCAGGGGCAGGAGGGUUGGGGGUGGAGAGGGUGGGCACCGUCCCCCGGCAGCUGCCCUUGCCAUGACAUCCUUCCCUGGGGCCAGGUGAAGAAGAUGGGUGAGCUGGGGCUCAUGGCCAUGGAUGUGCCCGAGGAGUUUGGCGGUGCGGGCCUCGAUUACCUGGCCUAUGCCAUCGCCAUGGAGGAGAUCAGCCGGGGCUGCGCCUCCGCUGGAGUCAUCAUGAGCGUCAACAACUCCCUCUACUUGGGGCCUAUCCUGAAGUUCGGCUCCAAGGAGCAGAAGAGGCAGUGGGUCACCCCUUUCACCAGCGGCGACAAAAUUGGCUGCUUUGCCCUCAGUGAACCAGGGAACGGCAGCGACGCGGGGGCCGCCGCCACCACUGCCUGGGCAGACGGUGACUCAUGGGUCCUGAGUGGCACCAAAGCCUGGAUCACCAACUCCUGGGAGGCCUCGGCCGCCGUGGUCUUCGCUAGCACGGACAGAUCCUUGCAGAACAAGGGCAUCAGUGCCUUCCUGGUUCCCAUGCCAACGCCUGGGCUCACGCUAGGGAAGAAGGAAGAUAAGCUGGGCAUCCGGGCCUCAUCCACUGCCAACCUCAUCUUCGAGGACUGUCGCAUCCCCAAGGACAACCUGCUGGGGGAACCGGGGAUGGGCUUCAAGAUUGCCAUGCAAACCCUAGACAUGGGCCGUGUCGGCAUCGCCUCCCAGGCCCUGGGCAUUGCCCAGGCUGCCCUCGACUGUGCUGUGAACUACGCCGAGAACCGCAUGGCCUUCGGGGCGCCCCUCACCAAGCUGCAGGUCAUCCAGUUCAAGUUGGCGGACAUGGCCCUGGCCCUGGAGAGUGCCCGGCUGCUGACCUGGCGCGCUGCGGUGCUGAAGGAUAACAAGAGGCCUUUCAUCAAGGAGGCAGCAAUGGCCAAGCUGGCUGCAUCGGAGGCCGCAACUGCCAUCACCCACCAGGCCAUGCAGAUCCUGGGUGGCAUGGGCUACGUGACAGAGAUGCCCGCCGAGCGGCACUACCGUGACGCUCGCAUCACGGAGAUUUAUGAAGGCACCAGCGAGAUCCAGAGGCUGGUGAUCGCCGGGCACCUGCUCAGGAGCUACCGGAGCUGAACCCUCGCAUGUGGGAUCUUAGUUCCCGGACCAGGGAUUGAAUCUGUGCCCCCUGCAGUGGAAGCAUGGAGUCUCAACCACUGGACUGCCAGGGAAGUCCCCUUGUAAGUUUAUUUUUAUAUCUAAAAGAUUUUAAGGAUAAUUACAAGCACAAGCAUAUACAAGAUUAAAAAAUCUGACAAUGUCAAUUAUAUAGUUGAUUAAAGCAAUGAUUAGGGAAAUCAUGAGCAAAAUUUAUCCUUGCACAUCCCAAAACAUAAAUUUCUGAAUAACCCUUUUUUCCCCUCAGAUUCCUAUUUUCUGCUGAUUUCUUUCAGUAUCAAGUAUGAUGCUUGUUUUAUUUUUUGUAGGUGCCCUUUAUCAAACAACGACAUUCCUUUCUAUUGCUAAUUUGCUGAAAGUUUUUUAUAAUGAAUGGAUAUUGUAUUUUGUUAAAUGCCUUUUGUGCAUUUGCUUUUUUCUUUUUUAGUCUGUUGAUAUGAAUGAUUGAUCUUUGAAUGUUAAACCAAACUUGCAUUCGUGGAAAAAACUCCACUUGAUCAUGAUAUAUUAUCCUUUUUGUAUGUUUUUGGAUUCAAUUUGCUAAAAUUUUGUUAGGAAUUUUUAUGUCUGUGUUCAUGGGGGAUACUGGUCUGUAGUUUUCUUUUCUUUUUUUUUUUUUUAAUAUUUAUUUAUUUAUUUUGGCUGUGCCGGGUCUUAGUUGCCGCCUGUGGGAUCUAGUUCCCCGACCAGGGAUUGAACCUGGGCCCCUUGCAUUAGGAGCAUGGAGUCUUACCCACUGGACCACCAGUAUGACAAUCUCUAGGUCCAUCCAUGUUGCUGCAAAUGUAUAAAAGUUGAUUUAAAAAUCUUGAGUGUUGGGCUUUCCUGGUUGUGCAGCGGUUAAGAAUCUGCCUGCCAACACAGGGGACACGGUUUUCGAGCCCUGGUCCGGGAAGAUCCCACAUGCCACAGAGCAACUAAGCCCGUCCGCCACAACUACUGAGCCUGCGCUCUAGAGCCUGUGUGCCACAACUACUGAAGCCCGCACGCCUACAGCCCGUGCUCCGCAACAAGAGAAGCCACUGCAAUGAGAAGCCUACACACCGCAACGAAGAGUAGCCCCCGCUCGCCGCAACUAGAGAAAGCCUGCAUGCAGCAACGAAGACCCAACGCAGCCAACUAAAAAAAAAUUUUGAGUGUUAACAUCUGGAUCAUCUCAAAGUCAGUUUUCAUUAAUCGCUUUUUCUCUCGUGUAUUGAUCAUUCUCUUGCUUUUUCGUAUGUACAGUAAUUUUGAAUUACAUCCUGGAUAUUGUCAAUAAUACACUUUAGAAAUUCUGAUGAAUAUUUUUCAAGUAGGCAGUUAACGACUGAACUCAGACUUAAAACUCGGGUUCCUCUUUGGUGAGCAGCAGCCGAUACGUCUCUUUAGUUCUUUUAGCUGGCUGCUUGGAGUCUAUAUUUAGGGAUCAUAGAGUUGGCCAUGUGGGGCUCCCUCUCUUGUUUCUGGGAUUUACUCCCUCACAGUGCUGGGAUCAUUUCGAACCCUUUCCUUUGGCUGGUUAUUAAAGCCAGGUUUCUAUAUGUUUUAACUACCCCACAGAGUGCCACCUGGGGCCUGUUAUCAGGCAAAAAGCCGUAAGAGUGGGAACUCACCCAGUGCCAUUCAUUUCCAACUGUCAGCUCCCCUCCAGUUUCUCCUCAGUUUGGUUGCUCUACACUGCCUUAAGGUUGCUUUCUACAUUUUGUUGAGAAUUUAUAGCUGUCAUUUGUGGGAGGGUUGGAUGGAAUAGGAGUUCUUCCAUCAUUAGCAGAAGCAGAACCUUCUCCAUUGCUUUUCAAAAGAUAUUGUCUGUAUUUCAUCUAUAUUUUAAAGUUAUUUUUAGCAGGAUUGGUUUGAAUUACAGUCCACCAUUAUUGGAGAUCAGAACAGCAGCUGACAUUUGUUUUCAUUCGUUUUUUUUUUUUUUUUGUGGUAUGAGGGCCUCCCUCUGCUGUGGCCUCUCCCGUUGCGGAGGACGGGCUCCGGACGCGCAGGCUCAGCGGCCAUGGCUCACGGGCCCAGCCGCUCCGCGGCACGUGGGAUCCUCCCGGACCGGGGCGCGAACCCGGUUCCCCUGCAUUGGCAGGCGGACGCGCAACCGCUGCGCCACCAGGGAAGCCCUUCAUUCGUUUUUAUGGUUUGUUGUUUUAAUGACAGCGAUGGGGGACUUAUCCUUUUAACAAACACUGAAGUCUGUUUGGUUGUGGCUUGCUAGGAGGCAUGUGUCCUCAUCCCUGUGUGAGACAGUACCCUAUUUCAGUGAGUAGUAGUCCAUGCUGCUACAGCAUUACUGGGAGGGAGGUCUGCACACCCCUCUGGGCAGCAGCUGGGUCACGUAGGGCUCAGGCAACCAAACUCCAGCUCUUCCCUGCCUCCUGAUAGGGUCAGUGGUCCCCCACUUCCAAUAGGAAGCUGUUUGCACAGUCCUUCUCUGUUUACAGAAACUUCCCUGCUUUUGUUUAAGCCAAAAAAAAAACCUUCUGAGAUUACCUUCUGAGAAUGAACUCAGGCUCUGGAGGCAGGAAGACCUGGGGCAACUUGAAACUCCUGGUCUGUAACACUGGUAAUAAAAUCUGCCCUGCCUAUAUUGUAUCAUGAGAUUUUACUACAAGUCUGAGAUGAUGACUGACCACCAUUCUGGCCCACAAUGUGGAACAUACGCUGGACUUGGGAAGAACAGGGCAGAGGUGGCUGUAACAGUCCUUGUCUCCUCUGGGUAGUGGUUGGAUUGAAAGCGUUUUGGAGUGAGGCAUUGGCCACUGAGCCAGCAGUAUUUAACGACCCAGCUGUAUUUUCUGAGGGUAGGGGCUAUCAGCAGUUCUGUGAUGGGGAGAAAUAAAGUGGUUAAGGUCACAGGCCAGUGUCUGUUUAGGGCUUAUUCUGCCACUUACCAGGUGGUGAUCUCAGGGGCUGGGUGAGUUCCUCUGUAAAACUGGUGAUAGCAGCACCUACCUCAGGGGAUUCUUGUGGGCUGUCACUGAUGUGCGGUGCGGGGCUCUCAUUUGCAGUAGCUCUCUCCAUCAGACUUCCCCGUGUUUGAUUUGACCCCGUCCUAGGCCUCAGGGCUCUCUUUGGAUCAUGGUUAGGUUCCCUCUCCUUGCUUCACAUCCUCCUCAAAUUUGCUAAGCCUCGAAGUUGUGUCCUCAGCCAAAUUAUCAAGAGACAUGUUGGGCAGGGCAGGGCUGAGGAAAAAGGCAAGGACCUUUGGGAUAAUAGGGUCAUUCAACUAGUUAUUAAUCUACUUCAUCAAUGAUAUUUUGAUGCCCCAAUUUCCCCACCUUGACCCAGAGGAUAGAGAAUCUUCCAAAUGGUUUGUUGAAGUCUUUUAAGAGUAGACUUCAGGAGAAAAAACAGUCUGUUCAAUAAGUGAUGCUGGGAAAACUGGACAGCUACAAGUAAAAGAAUGAAAUGAGAACACUCCCUAACACCAUACACAAAAAUAAACUCAGAAUGACACAACAUUGUAAAACAACUAUACCUCAAUAUAAAUAAACUCAAAAUGGAUUGAAGACCUAAAUGUAAGGCCAGAUACUAUAAAACUCUUAAGAGGAAAACAGGCAGAACACUCUUUGACAUAAAUCACAGAAAGAUCUUUUUUGAUCCACCACCUAGAGUAAUAAAAAUAAAAACAAAAAUAAACAAAUGGGGCAUAAUUAAACUUAAAAGCUUUUGCACAGCAAAGAAAACCAUAAACAAAAUGAAAAGACAACCCUCAGACUUGGAGAAAAUAUUUGUAAACGAAGCAACUGACAUGGGAUUAAUCUCCAAAAUAUACAAACAGCUCAUGCAGCUCAUUAUCAAAAAAACAAACACCACAAUCAAAAACUGGGUGGUAGACCUAAGUAUACAUUUCUCCAAAGACGACAUACAGAUGGGCCAAUAAAACACAUGAAAAGAUGCUCAACAUCACUAAUUAUUAGAGAAAGGCAAAUCAAAUAAUGAGGUAUUCACACCAGUCAGAAUGGCCAUCAUUAAAAAAUCUACAAACAAUAAUGCUGGAGAGGGUGUGCAGAAAAGGGAACCCUCUUGCACUGUUGGUGGGAAUGUAAAUUGAUACAGCCACUAUGGAGAACAGUAUGGAGGUUCCUUAAAAAACUAAAAAUAGAGCUACCAUAUGACCCAGCAAUCCCACUCCUGGGCAUAUAUCUGCAGAAAACCAUAAUUCAAAAAGAUGCAUGCACCCCGCUGUUCAUUGCAGCACUAUUUACAAUAGCCAAGUCAUGGAAGCAACCUAGAUGUCCAUCGACCGAGGAAUGGAUGAAGAUGUGAUGCAUAUAUAAAUGGAAUAUCACUCAGCCAUAAAAAGGAACGAAAUAAGGCCAUUUGCAGUGACAUGGAUGGAUGGACCCAGAGAUUGUCAUACAGAGUGAAGUAAGUCAGAAAGAGAAAGACAAAUACCAUAUAAUGUUGCUUAUAUGUGGAAUCUAGAAAAAUGGUACAGAUGAACUUAUUUGCAGAGAAACAGAGUCACAGAUGUAGAAAACAAACUUACCAAGGGGGGAAGAGGGGAUGGGAUGAAUUGGGACAUUGGGACUGACAUAUACACACUACUAUACAUAAAAUAGAUAAUAAGGACCUGCUGUAGAGCACAGGGAACUCUACUCAGUGCUCUGUGGUGACCUAAAUGGGAAGGAAAUCUACAAAAGAGUGGAUAUAUGUUUAACUGAUUCACUUUGCUGUACAGCAGAAACUAAUACAACAUUGUAAAGCAACUAUACGCCAGUAAAAAUUAAGAAAAACAAAGAGUAGCCUUCACCCUCUACCUAGUCUGGCUCCUGUUCCUCUCCUGCCUUAUGGGCUGACUAGAGCCAAGAGGCUUAGAAAGACGCUGCUCUUUAUGUGAAAACAGGCUGGGAGUUUGGCCCAUUGAGUCUUUUGUUCCAAGUAUGUUCAAGACAAGCCUUGAGAUUUGAGAAUACAGGUCCACCGUGACUGACCGGGUAGCUUUACAGUGUAGCAGUUACCUUUUCCCUCAAAACAAGCAGCAGAGCUGUAAAGUACAAUAAAGUAAAAGAGGGCAUAGGAAGCGUUUAUUAUGAAAAAGAAAAUCAACGGUAUAGAAAAAUAAAAAUGUCAACAUUGGACCAAUGAAAGGUCAACGUUGGUUUGUUUGCAGAAUCUGGUUAGAGAUUGAUACUCUUGGCUUUAAGCAGCCAAAAUGGUAAGGAUCCGUUAGGCAGACUCUGUCCCAGCUGAGCUACUGCAAGAACAAGUCCAGGACCCUUUGCAGGCCCCCUCUGUGCUCUGUAGCCAGGACCCUUCAUGCUUCUGUUGCGAGCCUCCUGCUCGGACUGGGCUGCAAAAUGAUCAAGGCCUAAGCUGACCUCCUAAGGAAUGGCUCCUAAGGGCCACUCCUGAAACCUGACCAGGGUGACCGGCUGGGCCCUUCCCCAGAGGAGCUGUGGCAGCGGGGGGACUGCCCAGACACCCUAGGACACGCAGACCUGGACCACCUCUACUCAGGCUCACUCAUCCCCGCCCCCCGCUCCUUGUGCCAAGUCCUUCAGCGUGUCCAGGAAAACGUCAAGAUCCUGGACUGGCCCAGGAUGAUGGUAGAGACCCUAUUAUCUAUCCAGCAGCCACUCAAUUUUGAAAGCCUAGACUAGACUAGGAUUGAAGAGCCUUCACCCCUCAACAGUGGAAGGAUAACCAGUUUCCUCAGUGAUGAACUGAAAGUAUUACAGAAGCUGUGGUCAUUUGAAUAAAGAAAGUGUGUGUAUCUGUUUAAGUCUGAUUUUUUAAAUUGUAUUUUAACUCCAUGAAGACUGGUAAAUUGUGGAGUACACGAAAACUCAGUAAACCUGAACAGUGCCUAAUAUUCACUUAAUACUUUAACUAAGGCACACCUUUAUUCCCAUUCCAGAUCGGGAAACUAAGGCUCAGAGGGACUCUGUCACCAAGGCAAGGUCCCGUGUGGCCGUGAGGGAUGUGUGCUGGCGGGUGCCUCGACGCACAGGACCUUGUGGGAGCCAUUCUCUUACCUCUCACUGUUGAGAACAGCUUGUAUAUUCAUUCCCUAAGGCUUUAAAUACCAUUUCUAUGCCUUCAUCCCAACUUUUUAGCUUUAGUUACUCUACUGGCUAGAACAGGACUCACUCUCUUUUCCUUAUCUCAGUUUUGGCAAUUAAUUGUUCAGGUCAGAAGCCAGAGUCAUCUAAUCGCCACAUUCUGCAUCCAAUGUGGCACCAAGUUCUGUCUGUUCUUCCCACCCCCCCUAGCCCGGGGAAGCUCUCACGGGAAGGCCUGUUGGCAAAACAGCUCAGUGAAGACCACAGUGAAGGCCAGAUGGAGGCAGGGAGACCCAGCAGGUGACAUCCAAUGGCACAGGCCCCGAAAACACCAGUGGCUGCUGAACGGGCCAGGGCAGUGGGAGGUGGUAGCGGGGUGCGUUAGGGUGU